UACAGAGGGUGCAAGCGUUAAUCGGAUUUACUGGGCGUAAAGCGUGCGUAGGCGGUUCGCUAAGUCGGUUGUGAAAUCCCUGGGCUUAACCUGGGAACUGCAGUCGAUACUGGUGGACUAGAGUACGGUAGAGGGUGGCGGAACUCCGGGUGUAGCGGUGAAAUGCGCAGAUAUCAGGAGGAACACCGAUGGCGAAGGCAGGUCUCUGGGCCACUACUGACGCUGAGAAGCGAAAGCAUGGGGAGCGAACAGG
Molecule: ribosomal RNA, 253 nt
Filed under: uncultured bacterium
Lineage: Bacteria
Description: partial 16S ribosomal RNA
Rfam family: Bacterial small subunit ribosomal RNA
Source: RNAcentral